Molecule: small nuclear RNA, 71 nt
Filed under: Neogale vison (American mink)
Lineage: Eukaryota; Metazoa; Chordata; Mammalia; Carnivora; Mustelidae
Source: RNAcentral
GUGCUCUCUUUGGCAGCACAUACGCUAAAAUUAGGACAACACAGAGAAGAUUAGCAUGGCUCCUGUGUGAG